This 107-nucleotide small nuclear RNA is filed under the name Salvator merianae (Argentine black and white tegu). Lineage: Eukaryota; Metazoa; Chordata; Lepidosauria; Squamata; Teiidae. The record is from RNAcentral.
GUGCUUGUUUCAGCAGCACAUAUACUAAAAUUGGAGUGAUACAGAGAAGAUUAGCAUGUUCCCUGUAGAAGGACGACAUGCAAAUUCAUGAAGCCUUCCAUUUUGAA